Manihot esculenta (cassava) is the source of this 4545-nucleotide long non-coding RNA. RefSeq lists it as uncharacterized. The record is from RefSeq and is a predicted model, not a curated record. NCBI's taxonomy places the organism in Eukaryota, Viridiplantae, Streptophyta, Magnoliopsida, Malpighiales, Euphorbiaceae. The transcript has 2 exons.
CUCACGCCAUAACCGUUUUUGCUCGUGGAAAAAGCGAAUAGUGAAUUGACGACUUAAGAAGAGCAAACCGGUGGCAGUAACCGAGAGAAAGGGAAAUCAUAGAGAGACGGAGUCACGUGCUGUGCUUAAAGCCUGUCCCUCACCAUCGGCUUCUUCACAUUUGGUGAUGGCGACUGCGAUGGACGGAAACUUGGAUGCUUCCUUCCGCUAUUGCCGAUUGCAAUGCAACUCAAAUACAGAAAAUCACAGGUUAUAAGGGGGAGAUUGAAUAGGAGAGAGUUCACCUUGAGAUCUUCAAAUUCACUAUAAUAUACGUUACCAUCAAAUUAAGCCUGUAAGUGUGUCAAUAGAGUUGUUAGUGACCCUCUGAAUACCGAUAAACUUGCUAAAUAUUUAAAAAAGAAAAAAAAAACACUUGUCAUUCUCACACAAGCAGCACAAGAAGUAAGCAAUCUUUAACAUUCUUUCAACUGUUGCCUUCUGCUUUCUAAGUCAUCUUGCUACUCGAUCAAAUGGCAGCAUAAUUCUCAUAAUGUCCUUCUGGAAAGAAAGGUGGAUACCUUGGAUUGUUUCCUUGCAAUUUAAUUAUAUAAGCACUUUAUAGUUUAAAGUGAAUAUAGUUAAAAAAUAGUUUAAAGGUAUAUUAUAGGAUACAUUAUAUAUCAAUAACUAAGUCUAAAGUUUAAAUGUUAAAUCAGGUAUGAAUCUAUAUGAAAAUAAUUGCACGAAAUUCCUUUAAGAAUUAAAACUUAACCCAAACUGAAAUGUCGAGAGUCAGAACCUAAACAAAAUUCUAAAUUCUAAAAUAUGAAGCCUAGUAAAAUUAAAUGUCUAUUUCCUACAAAAAAAAAAUCCAUUAUUUGGAAGUUUUGAAAAUAUAAAUAAAUUAGAAACACAGAAAGAACACUCGACUCUGUUCUACUUAAACACAAGGCAGAUCUAAACUGCAAAUGGCCACCGGGUGCCUAUCAAAUUCCAAGGAUUUCCAUGUUACAACUCUUCUGUCUACUCGCCAAAAGUACAGUACCUAACCUAUAUCGGCUUAUCUUUUAUAGCAAGGUGUUGAUGCCCAUAUAAUGUUAGAACAAUAACUAUUCCUUGCAGAAAAGUUAGAGUAACUUAUAGCAGAAUUCUAUUUCCAUGGCACAUUUGGCAUUCCCUGUGGAUUACUGUUGCAUCCUCCAGUACUCUGGUUCGGGGGGCUUCCAGGGCCACCAGAUGAUUCGCUAAAAGUUCCUCGGGAUGUUGGGCUUCCUGCUAUCGAUGCACCUGGACCAUACAUAGUUUCAGGUUGGUUAAUCCCCGGUCUCGACUCUUUCCACUCUUCUGAAAUAAAGCUACCCACAAUAAUCUGCAAACAGAAACAAACUCCAAUGCAUCAACGAGAAGAGACCUCAGGAAAAAAUACAUAUGAAAGCGAAGAAGGUCAAUUUCCCUUGGCAUCGUAAAGUCAUUUUGAGAGAUCAUGCAAUUCGUGCAUAAUGCAGUCUCUAUAUGACAAAUUGGCUAUCACUGCUUGAUGCAGCACAAAAGAAAAAAUGAGAAGCAGAAGAACCUGAACAGAAGAUGCUGCCGUGAGGAGCCCUGCCACUCCACCACCUAGAACACGACCAUCAGGCCCAGCUAGUAAAACACUCAAACCACCUGUUCUGCUUCGCUGGCCACUACUCUCUGAAGGGAAAAAUGAACCAGAAAGUGACAAAAUCUCAAAUCGUCCCUGCAUAAACAAAUGAUAGAAGGGUUGACUUGAUCUGUGAAUACAAUAUUUAAGAAUCAAAUUUUCUGAGUCUCUUACACAACUAUCUGAAUAAAACAAGAAAGUCAAGUUAACGAUGGGCUAAUAAUUUUCUAUGAGUAAGAAUUUACAACAACGAAGGGGAAUCAGGCCUUUUUGCUAGAGAGAGAAACCAAUGCUUUUUCUUGUAGUUUUAGUUUGUUCCUUUUCCUAGUUCAUCAAUCUACUACUGCACAAAACUCUUAGCUCUGAGUGUGCAUGUAUUAUUAUUUAUUUAUUUAUUAUUAUUAUCUUAUGGGUCUAUAUAUUGUACUUUUACAAACUUAUCCCCUUAACUAAGAGAGGAACUUGGCUACCCCAAUUCUAAUAUGAAAAAAACAAAAAAGAAAAAAAAAAACUCUGAUGUCAUGUGAGCAUUGUGAUUCCUUGAAUCUCCAACAAUGAAAAAGAACAACUUAAUAGAAAGGGGCGGAGAGGGCAAAAGUUCUCCUGUGCCGCAACUAGUGUUUAAAAUUCUUUUUCCCAGCAACUAUUGACUUAGCCAAUUAGCUUUAGCAAAUGACCUUUCCCCCUCCACCAAACUCACAAAGAUUAUCAAUCCCUGCAAACUGCAUUGUCCCAACUUCCUUGGCCACUCCAAAAAAAUCAGCUAUAUAACAGAAAAUGGAGCAAAUUUUUUCUUCUUUUACUGUGAUUGUAAAUUGAUAUACAGCAUAAACAAUAUAAACUUUGAACACACCUCAUAUGUUACGGUUCCACCAGAUGUUGCAGUUUGACAAAGUGUAACAUUAGAUAUGGCACCACUUGCUGACAAAAUGCAGACAGCUCUUGGACCAUUUUGGGGGAAAGACAUUAUUUUCAACAACACAUCCUGUGGGGAUAAAUUUUAAAAUCAAACAUAAUAACUCCUGAGAAAAGAUGAAACAACACUUGUAAAAUGUUCAAACUGCUAUAAAGUAAAUAUAUAAAAGAGACCCCUUAUUUGGGAGAACAAAAGCAGCUUCUUUUUUUUUUUUUAAUUACAUCUUGCUUCAAUUUGCAUUAGCAAAUGAGUGGAAGUAGGAUAAAGGGCAGCCAUCUCAGUUGCCGUAUCCAAUUUGCUCCAGAGAAAAAGAAAUGGAAUGGAAAUACACGAGCGCAUACUGCAUAACCAUGUCAAACAAUACUGUGAUGCCCCACCCAUAAAGAUAACGCUGCACCAUGCUUCAAUAGCAGUUGACUGCAAAUGCUACCGUAUGCAGCAUCACUUGCAUGUUGCAUUUAUAAUAUGACACUUAUUUGCUUAUCCUCAGGCGUAUAAUCAUGAUUUAAACUAAUUGGCAUCCCCUUUAAUGAACCAAAAUCUUAGUCAACAAAGCAACACGCUGAUCACAUUAAGCUGUAUUAUAGAACAUUGACGGUUAACUAUAGCAGUAUUGAUCCAAUGUUAUGAGGAACUAAAAAUUUUAAGGCUAGACAUAUGUUAUUCCAGAAGUACAUUAUCAGUGAAACUUUCUACCUUAUUCUGAUGGUGGCUUAACACAAUAUUCCAUGAUCAAGUUGCAGCAAAUAAAACAGAAAGACUACUCUUCCAUAAGACGCAUUAUAGUUGUCAGCCAAAGGAGUGAAAUAUUAAGUUUCUUGCAAUUAUGCAAUGCCUUGCCACAAUGAAAAUGAAAAACAAAAAACCCACAGUUCAACACUAUGAAUUUUGCAGGAGUAUAGAUGUACACUGUUGAAAAGAAAAUACUUCUAAUGCCAUAAAUAAGAUUUAUCCUGGAAAAUAGGCCUUUGUUUUAUUAAGGAAUUGACAUUUAGUGACUAUAGAAAAAAGAAAAUUACCUCUCCAGCCUUCACUGUUAUAACAUGUGGUACAAAUCCAACCACUGCCGAUCCUGGAAAGCAAUAAAAGUCAAAACUAAAAAAUUAAAAUAGGACAAAACUUUAAAUAAAUUUCACUUCUAUUGCUUCCUUGCGCAUAUGACCCAACCUGAAUAAACAUUUCUGCAUCACAUUAAAAAAAUAAUAAAAAAAUAAAUUAAAUCAAAAAAGAAAAAGUGACUCGUCUCUGGCCAUUUCAGAUUGCAAGACGGAAAAGUAAUAUUUUGAUAAAGAAAAGGGCAAAAGGACUAGAAACGUUCUAACAUAAAAUAAAGGGUAAAAGUGUCAUUUCGACCAAGGAACAAAAUCCCGUGAAGUCCACUUACAUCAUCUCUCCAAUCGAUAUAAUCACAUCAUCAUACAGUAGAAACCAAAGUAAUUGAUCAAACGUACCUAAAGCGGCUAGUUGGUUUUUGCGGCCAGAACCAGGGGGUCUACCCCUUGCUUUCUUUGCAGUGGAUGAUGGAGAAAGAGGAGACUGAAAUUCAGAGUGAUGUAGAAGAGGAGACUGAUGGGGAUCAUGGUAGUUGUUGUGAUGAAGCUGGGAGAGCGGAGAUGUGAGGUUGAGGCCGAAAUGACCAUGGGGUGGGGAGUAUUUCCUGGGCCGUCCACGUUUUCUCUUGAUGGGCGCUGCGUUGUUCACGUUAAGUCCAUCGACACCAACACCAACACCAACACCGACGCCGACGCCGACGCCGACGCUGACAUCGCCACCACCCAACAUCAACAUCUCAUGGUGGUGCGCUGAAAUUGAUUGAACGUGAUGAAAUGGAUCAUCACUGGUGAUUGGCAUGAUGGGCUUGUAAACAGCAUUAGCCCCAUCGGCGCUGAAUGUGAGGUUCAUGUUUGAUGUUGGCGCUAUCGACGGUGUCUGAUUUCUUUCACUGCCUCCUCCGUACUGUUCUCUUUCUGACAUUUUUCUGGAAUCCUAAUCAUGAUCAUAAUCAUCA